RNAcentral lists this ribosomal RNA (446 nucleotides) under uncultured bacterium. Its description in RNAcentral is "SSU rRNA". It matches the Rfam family "Bacterial small subunit ribosomal RNA", at positions 26 to 518 of the family's 1533-position model. The record is from RNAcentral.
AGAGCGAACGCUGGCGGCAGGCUUAACACAUGCAAGUCGAGCGGGCGUAGCAAUACGUCAGCGGCAGACGGGUGAGUAACGCGUGGGAACAUACCUUUUGGUUCGGAACAACACAGGGAAACUUGUGCUAAUACCGGAUAAGCCCUUACGGGGAAAGAUUUAUCGCCGAAAGAUUGGCCCGCGUCUGAUUAGCUAGUUGGUGAGGUAACGGCUCACCAAGGCGACGAUCAGUAGCUGGUCUGAGAGGAUGAUCAGCCACAUUGGGACUGAGACACGGCCCAAACUCCUACGGGAGGCAGCAGUGGGAAUAUUGGACAAUGGGCGCAAGCCUGAUCCAGCCAUGCCGCGUGGAUGAUGAAGGCCUUAGGGUUGUAAAGUCCUUUUAACGGGGAAGAUAAUGACGGUACCCGUAGAAUAAGCCCGGCUAACUUCGCGCCAGCAGCCGC